GUCCGUCGUGAAGAGGGAAACAACCCAGACCGCCAGCUAAGGUCCCAAAGUCAUGGUUAAGUGGGAAACGAUGUGGGAAGGCCCAGACAGCCAGGAUGUUGGCUUAGAAGCAGCCAUCAUUUAAAGAAAGCGUAAUAGCUCACUGGUCGAGUCGGCCUGCGCGGAAGAUGUAACGGGGCUAAACCAUGCACCGAAGCUGCGGCAGCGACGCUKAUGCGUUGUUGGGUAGGGGAGCGUUCUGUAAGCCUGYGAAGGUGGCCUGUGAGGGUUGCUGGAGGUAUCAGAAGUGCGAAUGCUGACAUAAGUAACGAUAAAGCGGGUGAAAAGCCCGCUCGCCGGAAGACCAAGGGUUCCUGUCCAACGUUAAUCGGGGCAGGGUGAGUCGACCCCUAAGGCGAGGCCGAAAGGCGUAGUCGAUGGGAAACGGGUUAAUAUUCCCGUACUUGGUGUUACUGCGAAGGGGGGACGGAGAAGGCUAUGUUGGCCGGGCGACGGUUGUCCCGGUUUAAGCGUGUAGG
This 518-nucleotide ribosomal RNA is filed under the name Salmonella enterica. Its description in RNAcentral is "partial 23S ribosomal RNA". Lineage: Bacteria; Pseudomonadati; Pseudomonadota; Gammaproteobacteria; Enterobacterales; Enterobacteriaceae. The record is from RNAcentral.